Bubalus bubalis (water buffalo) is the source of this 972-nucleotide long non-coding RNA. RefSeq lists it as uncharacterized. The transcript has 2 exons. The record is from RefSeq and is a predicted model, not a curated record. Lineage: Eukaryota; Metazoa; Chordata; Mammalia; Artiodactyla; Bovidae.
CACUCGCUUUCUCUGGCUUUUGGCGGCCUCGUCUAUAAAGUGAGGUUGAGUUCGUGACUUAUUUCUAAAGUCCACUUAUUCUCAUAUCCAGUGAUUUGCAUUGGCAAGAGUAUUAAAGUCAUACGGUCAUGUACUCAGUCAGCUUGUGUGCGUCAUCCUCUGUGUGCAGGGCUGGUCUAGCCGCCACGGGGACCCCAGCCACGUGUCACCCAAAGGCCUGCCCUCCUGCAGCAGCCCCCCAUCCAGGGGGCGGAAAUACCGCACAGCGCACCUGCUGAUCCCUGGGAUAACCAGUACCCAAAGAGAUCAGGUGAAUCUGGCAGCUGAGGUGGGCCUUGCAGUUUCUGGUUCUCUCCUCCCUGCCCCGACGAAGGACACUUGGAGAAUGUCCAGAAAAGCAGGAAGCACCCAGCGAUGGUUUGAGCUGCGGCUCUGAAACCCAGCAUCGAAGAGAGCUGCUGUGACUGGCUAUGUGACCUCACUCAAGCAUGCUGUCCCUCCCUCACCUCCAUCUCCGUGUCUGUGGUAAUGAACCCCACACCACCCCUGGUGGCUGCAUCCCCAGGACCUGGGAGAACUGAUGAGCUGGGCGGUCAGCUGCUCCUUGUCCGAGUCUGGGACUGCAGGUCCUCUCAUAGGAAAGCUUGUGGUUAAGUGUGUCUAUAUGAGUGUGGUUUCUUUCAGGUCCUCACUUUAUUAUCCUUGCUUAAUACAUGCCCAUAAUAUUGCUUCAUAUCAGCACAUUAGUACCUCUUUCUCUGAUAUUGUGCAUAUUAGUGAAGUUUCACUGAGUUGUUACGAAGCACUGAGGACUGUACAUCUAACAGAAAGCUAAACUGGCAAACCACUACUCACCCAGCGGUUUAUCUGGGGCAGGAAGAUACCCUGGAGAAGGAAAUGGCAGCCCACUUCCUGACGGUGGGGAAAAAUUCCAUGGACAGAGGAGCCUGGAAGGCUGCAGACCAUAGGGGU